This 165-nucleotide non-coding RNA is filed under the name Trachymyrmex cornetzi. The record is from RNAcentral. Lineage: Eukaryota; Metazoa; Arthropoda; Insecta; Hymenoptera; Formicidae.
AUAAAUAAUUGAAACUUAGAUGUUCGGGAAAAAGAUGAAAACUCUUUGCUGUCCCAGCAACUGUAAUACUAAUGAACGUUGAAUUACCCAUUGAAAUCAAUUUUGAGAAGGGCAACUAGUAAAAUGAAGUUAAGCCAGUAGACCGGUCUGAUUUUCAAAAAUUAA